UCUCUCAUAUUUUGAUCUUGUUUCAUUUUAGGGAGGAAUCUGAUGAAUUUGUGGAGAUUGGAGCGCUCAAUGGAUUGUUUGUUUUAGGAAGAUCGAUUGGAUUCAUUGGUCAUUAUUUGGAUCAGAAACGCCUAAAGAUGGGUCUGUAUAGACAUCCUUGGGACGACAUCACGUACAUCAUGCCUGAUCAUCUCACAGACCUUCGCCCAGCAAGUUUUGAAUAAGUACGUGACAAUCACGUUGUGGAAGUGUUUGGAAUUACAAAUUUUGGUUUUCCUCCUUGAACUCAAUCGAGCGGAACAGUUAACAGAAGAAUUUUUGGAAGAGAGAAAUUUGUGUCGUGUGUUGAGGCCGUAAUUUAAUUCAGGGAUAGUUAUUGCCCUUUUUUAGGUAAUUCCCGUGUUGGUAUUUUUGACUGCCAAGCGUUUUCCGUAAACUUAUUUUGUACCUGUCACGUUCGUGUGGAUUGCGUGCAGGCCAAAGAACGUAAACGCUAGAGGGCUCUUGCUCUCUAUAAAACCAGGAAUAUUUUGGACAAUACUAUGGAAGCAAUGUUGUAAUUUUAAUUUUCAUCUAAUUUAUUCAUUUAGAUUUGAAAUUCAUGCAGAGCGAUAUGCCUUAAAGAAAGUGUAAUUUCAAAAUUGUUACGAACUUUUUGGUCGAUCUGGGGAGCAGUCCAUAGUCGAGCUGCUAAGAGAGUGUUAAUAUGACUCUGGGAGGGGCCUAAAACAUAUUUAAGCCUAAAAAUAUAAACUUAAGUACUAUAAUCAUCACUUUGGAGGUCACUGGGAAAGUGAAAACUGAAACAGCAAAUAAAGGAAAACCGAACAUUCACGCAAGCGUGCGAGAAUGUUAGAGACAUUUUUAACCCA
Stylophora pistillata is the source of this 872-nucleotide long non-coding RNA. The record is from RefSeq and is a predicted model, not a curated record. Lineage: Eukaryota; Metazoa; Cnidaria; Anthozoa; Scleractinia; Pocilloporidae.